This 463-nucleotide ribosomal RNA is filed under the name uncultured bacterium. RNAcentral describes it as "bacterial SSU rRNA". It matches the Rfam family "Bacterial small subunit ribosomal RNA", at positions 9 to 521 of the family's 1533-position model. The record is from RNAcentral.
GAGUUUGAUCUUGGCUCAGAGCGAACGCUGGCGGCAGGCCUAACACAUGCAAGUCGAGCGCCCAGCAAUGGGAGCGGCAGACGGGAUAGUAACACGUGGGAACGUACCUUUCAGUUCGGAACAACCCAGGGAAACUUGGGCUAAUACCGAAUACGCCCGUAAGGGGAAAGAUUUAUCGCUGAAAGAUCGGCCCGCGUCUGAUUAGCUAGUUGGUGGGGUAAUGGCCCACCAAGGCGACGAUCAGUAGCUGGUCUGAGAGGAUGAUCAGCAUCACUGGGACUGAGACACGGCCCAGACUCCUACGGGAGGCAGCAGUGGGGAAUAUUGGACAAUGGGCGCAAGCCUGAUCCAGCCAUGCCGCGUGGAUGAUGAAGGCCCUAGGGUUGUAAAGUCCUUUCGGCGGGGAAGAUAAUGACGGUACCCGCAGAAGAAGCCCGGCUAACUUCGUGCCAGCCGCCGCAGU